GGGCGCGUCCCGGCUUCGACGGGGAUUCGCGAAAGCAAGGCUGCGUGUCGAGGUGGCCGGUGGCCUCGUAAAACCCGGCGAAACAAAAACUGCCAAGCCUAACAAGCUUGCUCUCGCUGCGUAAGCCAGCGACGUUCGCCAGAAACCCAGCCGAUGGUUCGCUGGAGUGAACGACCUGAAGUCGGCUAGCCGAAGCAAGGCAUCGUAGCGUAGGCGAAACCUCACGAAGCUUGGCUCGAGCCCCCUGUCGGUGGGGAAAGCUCGAGCGACACUCAAACACCGACUACACACGUAGAUGCCUGCCGUAGGGAUCUUCGGACGAGGGUUCGACUCCCUCCGCGUCCACCA
This 348-nucleotide transfer-messenger RNA is filed under the name Calidithermus roseus. RNAcentral describes it as "Standard tmRNA". It matches the Rfam family "transfer-messenger RNA". From Rfam's summary of the family: Bacterial tmRNA, also known as 10Sa RNA or SsrA, is named for its dual tRNA and mRNA-like properties. Its role is to liberate the mRNA from a stalled ribosome. RNAcentral also lists the same sequence under 1 other name. The record is from Rfam by way of RNAcentral. Lineage: Bacteria; Thermotogati; Deinococcota; Deinococci; Thermales; Thermaceae.